Molecule: long non-coding RNA, 1220 nt
Organism: Hipposideros armiger (great roundleaf bat)
Lineage: Eukaryota; Metazoa; Chordata; Mammalia; Chiroptera; Hipposideridae
Exons: 3
Source: RefSeq, a predicted model, not a curated record
CAACUGUCGACAGUUUGGCUCAAAUAAACUCUUACAAGUUUUCUCUUAGGCUGGAUGUUUUUCGUCAACAGCUCUAAGCCCCCUCUCCAGCCCAGCCUGCUCUCCUGCUUAUUGUCGCACGGUGUCUCUGGCAUGGCCUGCCGGGUGCCUCAGUGAGGCCUCAGCUUCAUGAUGCUCCCACCAGGACCGCCUUCUUCCCCACCCCCUGCCCUGCCAGCCAAAGUCACUGUGAACAGGGUCACCAUGCUCAGAAAUCGUAAGUUGGGAUCUGAAAUAGCUGUAGGAUCUCAUGGUUGGGUCUACAUUCUUUCACUUGGUCAUUUAACAAACACUUAUUGAGAGUCUACCAUGUGCCAGGCACGGCCUGGGUGCUGGCAACACGAGAACAGGCCAGUGUCUGCUCUGAUGGAGCUGGCGACACACAGACAAGUCGGCAAUAUAGCAGGGCAAGGGGACAGUGACUGCGGAGGUGACGUUGGCGCAGAGACUUGGAUGAAGUGAGGAGUGAAUCGUGUGGGUAUCUGGAGAAUAGGAGUCCAGGCAGAGGGAACAGCAUGUGCAAAGGCCCUGAGGCAUGUGUGCUUUGGCAGAUUCCAAGGACAGCAAACAGGCCAGGAGGGCUAGAACUGAGUGAGUGAGAGGGGAGUAGUAAGAGACAGACUCAGACAAACAGCAAGGAGCUGGAUGGUGUAGGGCCUCACCGGUCACCAGAAGGGCUCUGGGCUUAGGUCUAGUGCAAUGGGAAGUCAUGGGCUGUCCUUGAGCAAAGGAAUGACGUUAUGUCAUUGACAUUUUUGUAAUCUCUCUCUUGUUUCUGUGUGGAGUAUAAACUGUAGGAGGACAUGCGCAAAAGCGAGGUGACUGGUGAACGUGUGUGGCUCUGCCCUCAGGUCCCUGGCUCUCACCCGGACUGCGCACUGCACUCAGAAAAUGUCUGCUGCUCUCAUUCGGAAGGUGGAAGGACCACGGCUGCCAUCUCGUAGCCACGAGGAGAAGAAAAGAGAUCCCAGGGUGCUGCCCAGAAGUCCUGACCAUCAGGUCGGACACCAUCGACCUCCAGACUUGUUGUCAAAUCCUCUCAAGGACCCUGGGAUAUAAGGCAAGAAUAGUCUUCAACAGAUUGUGCUGGGACAACUAGGUAUCCAUAUGGAAAAGAAUAAAGUUGGACCCCUACCUCACACCAUAUACAAAAUUAACCCAAAAUGGAUCAAAGAGCUAAA